RNAcentral lists this transfer RNA (64 nucleotides) under Sambus kanssuensis. Its description in RNAcentral is "tRNA-Phe". The record is from RNAcentral. Lineage: Eukaryota; Metazoa; Arthropoda; Insecta; Coleoptera; Buprestidae.
AUUUAAAUAGCUUAUUUAGAGCAUAACAUUGAAGCUGUUAGGGUAACAAAAUUGUUUUUAAAUA